Panicum virgatum (switchgrass) is the source of this 2319-nucleotide long non-coding RNA. RefSeq lists it as uncharacterized. The record is from RefSeq and is a predicted model, not a curated record. The transcript is spliced from 8 exons. NCBI's taxonomy places the organism in Eukaryota, Viridiplantae, Streptophyta, Magnoliopsida, Poales, Poaceae.
UGCUGAGGCAGCCGGCGUGGGUGGUGGGCGGAGCUGCUCCGCGGCGAGCGGCGAGCGGACGCUCCGGUGCGUGUUCAACGACGCGAUGCUCAGGGACACCAUGACGUCAUUGCUCGUGCCCUGCUAUGACCUCGCCACGGCCGUGCCCUCCGACGCAGCAUUGGCCAGGCGUCACGGUGCCCAUAUCUCAGAUUAGGAGAGGUUCUUCAAUUCCAAGGUGUGCUUGCCAAGUGGACAGCCACUGCCACCGUUGUUUGACUUUUCAGCAGCUGCAACGUCAAUUCCACCACUGCACCACAAUGUUACUUCCUCUUCUGAAACUGUGAAGGUAGCAAUCGGAUACUUUGCUUUGUAGUAUGCAGUUUGUGAAUGCUGGGAGCAUGAUUAUAUAAUUUGUGUUUCAUCUUGCUGCAAAUAUUAGAUGAUUUAAUGUUUUCAUCUACUAAAGUUUACGGAAAUACAUGUAUUAAAGUGUAUGGCAAUUCAUUGAGGAUUCAUAAACUGACCUGCCAUGUUUGACUGGCUCUGCAGGUUAUGGCUACUCGGUUCUAAGUUCGUUGCCUUUCUAGUUUUGGUUUACAUAGCUAAUGGUUCGUUAGUUGGUUGCCUUCGUAAUUUGCGUUGUUUAAUAUGCCCGAGUGGAGUUUAAGGCACCAGUGGUCAUGGUUGGGUGCAAGGUGAACCUGCUAGACAGGCAGGAGUUUAACCUUGAACAUAUCGUGGUACCCCUCAGGCAGAGAUUGAAACCUGAAUUGGCUGGAUAAUUAUAGCCUCAAAUACUUACUAUUGAUGAUAUCAGAACCUGAGCUCGAUAUUCUGUUUUACCCAAUAUCUAGGCAUUUUACAAAAAGGCUCUCUUUCUAAAUUGGUGACAGUUAGGUGGUUUCAACAAGUACUAAAUCAAUUCGUUAUCUAAAAGAUGAUCUCUCCACUGCUACUUCAACUUGGGGCUGCAGAAGUAAGCUAUUCUUCCAUCUUUAUUCUGCACUUUAUUGUAUUACCCGUAUUUAGAGCUUUUAUAUGCCUUGUAUUGAGUGAGCCUGAGAUCGUAACCAUUUUCCAGCUUAGAAAUUGUUCAAAUUAUGUAUACAUGGUAUGCUUCUCUGUACUUUAACCUAAAAUAGGCCAUAGAGAUCAGCCAUGACCUGUAUGGUAGAACUCUUGGAUUUGUGUAUAGGAAAAAAAUGUUCUUGCAGUGUCUUUUAUCUUUCGAUUUUAAAGCUUUAACUCAUGCAGUAUCUGAAUUGGUAGUAUCAUAGCCACCUUUAUGAAUUAGAGAAGGAGAAUUUGCCUUUGCAGCUUGCCCUUUGAUUUGAUGCAGUAACUGUACCGUGAAAUUUAUUGUUUUGUCCUUGCAUUGGAAGAAUAUAGUAAUGAUAUUUGUCUUUUAUUUUAUUUGGAUUUCUAGGAUUUUAGUAGUACAUAUUUUGCAACAAUAGCUUCUUUUGUUCUUUGCAGACCAUAGAUGUUUCACAAUGAUCUGUCAGUGAAAAGAUUUGUGGCCUUCGGUAUUGCUAAUUAAGGACAGUAUGUCUGAGAAACAAGUAAAAAUAACAAGGCUCAGAAGCAUGAUUAUCCUUUAUUUAGCUUAUUUCUCUGCUAAAAAUGUUCACUUGCAUUUACUAAGUUCUUGGCGAUCAGGAAUAACCAUGAAGAAAAACCAGACCACCUUAUUGACAAGCUGAUCAGCAGCCACAGGCAUGGAAGGGACUAUCAGACCAUCAAGCCGACUCAGAACAGCUUGAACAGCUUGGCUUUGCUUGUAGUUAAGUACAGUACGGGCAGAAACACAUUUGAUCUUAAAUCGCUGAUGGAAACCAUUUCUACUCCAAAUCAAUUGGACACUACGCAUUGGUGAUGGAAGCCUCUAGCAAACAUCAUUGCCCAGCACCAGUUGCUUCGCUGUUCUGUGGUGGUUUGAAGGAUGUUUGCCGGUUAUCUCUGCCCGAGGGCCCUGCACUAACAUUGCUAAUCAUGCCGCGAUGUCAACUCCACCUAACACAAGAUGUUGCUCGUCUAGGGCUGCAUCGGCCACAAUGCCUGAGAAGCACCUCUAGGAUAUGAUUGCAUCAGCCACAAGUGUUGACACAAAAUCGCCUAAUUGAGGACACUGACCAUGAGGGGCUCACGGCUGAGGUAUUUGGUUGGAGCAGACAUUAUCGUCUUGGAACAAAUGGCCUGUCUAGCAUUGUACCCAAAUCAUAAAAUCUGGAAACUAUUUUUUCUUCUGAAACAAAUUUUUUAUUCCCGAACAAAUUUUUUGUAUUGCUGGAACAAUUAAAAAAUUAUUUCGAAACAAUUUUUUUGUUCUGAAACAAA